RNAcentral lists this transfer RNA (49 nucleotides) under Oxyopes sertatus. RNAcentral's name for it is "tRNA-Ala". The record is from RNAcentral. Lineage: Eukaryota; Metazoa; Arthropoda; Arachnida; Araneae; Oxyopidae.
AAGGAAGUUUUGAAUUGAUUUGCAAUCAAUUAAUAUGGUAACAUACGGA